GUUGGGUAGGGGAGCGUUCUGUAAGCCUGUGAAGGUGUACUGCGAGGUAUGCUGGAGGUAUCAGAAGUGCGAAUGCUGACAUAAGUAACGAUAAUGCGGGUGAAAAACCCGCACGCCGGAAGACCAAGGGUUCCUGUCCAACGUUAAUCGGGGCAGGGUGAGUCGACCCCUAAGGCGAGGCAGAAAUGCGUAGUCGAUGGGAAACGGGUUAAUAUUCCCGUACUGGUGAUAAUUGCGAUGGGGGGACGGAGAAGGCUAGGCUAUCCGGGCGACGGUUGUCCCGGUUUAAGGAUGUAGGCAGGUGAAUUAGGCAAAUCCGGUUCACUAUAUGCUGAGGUCCGACGACGAGUCACUACGGUGAUGAAGUAGCUCAUGCCCCGCUUCCAGGAAAAGCCUCUAAGCUCUAGAUUAUCAUUAAUCGUACCCCAAACCGACACAGGUGGUCAGGUAGAGAAUACUCAGGCGCUUGAGAGAACUCGGGUGAAGGAACUAGGCAAAAUGGUGCCGUAACUUCGGGAGAAGGCACGCUGGCGCUAGGUGAAGUCCCUCGCGGAUGGAGCUGAAGCCAGUCGCAGAUACCAGCUGGCUGCAACUGUUUAUUAAAAACACAGCACUGUGCAAACACGAAAGUGGACGUAUACGGUGUGACGCCUGCCCGGUGCUGGAAGGUUAAUUGAUGGGGUUAUCCGUAAGGAGAAGCUCUUGAUCGAAGCCCCAGUAAACGGCGGCCGUAACUAUAACGGUCCUAAGGUAGCGAAAUUCCUUGUCGGGUAAGUUCCGACCUGCACGAAUGGCGUAAUGAUGGCCAGGCUGUCUCCACCCGAGACUCAGUGAAAUUGAACUCGCUGUGAAGAUGCAGUGUACCCGCGGCAAGACGGAAAGACCCCGUGAACCUUUACUAUAGCUUGACACUGAACAUUGAGCCUUGAUGUGUAGGAUAGGUGGGAGGCUUUGAAGUGUGGACGCCAGUCUGCAUGGAGCCAACCUUGAAAUACCACCCUUUAAUGUUUGAUGUUCUAACGUAGCCCCGUUAUCCGGGGUGCGGACAGUGUCUGGUGGGUAGUUUGACUGGGGCGGUCUCCUCCCAAAGAGUAACGGAGGAGCACGAAGGUUGGCUAAGCAUGGUCGGACAUCAUGCGGUUAGUGCAAAGGCAUAAGCCAGCUUGACUGCGAGAGUGACGGCUCGAGCAGGUACGAAAGUAGGUCUUAGUGAUCCGGUGGUUCUGAAUGGAAGGGCCAUCGCUCAACGGAUAAAAGGUACUCCGGGGAUAACAGGCUGAUACCGCCCAAGAGUUCAUAUCGACGGCGGUGUUUGGCACCUCGAUGUCGGCUCAUCACAUCCUGGGGCUGAAGUAGGUCCCAAGGGUACGGCUGUUCGCCGUUUAAAGUGGUACGCGAGCUGGGUUUAGAACGUCGUGAGACAGUUCGGUCCCUAUCUGCCGUGGGCGUUGGAAGAUUGAAAGGGGCUGCUCCUAGUACGAGAGGACCGGAGUGGACGCACCACUGGUGUUCGGGUUGUCAUGCCAAUGGCAUUGCCCGGUAGCUAAGUGCGGAAGAGAUAACCGCUGAAAGCAUCUAAGCGGGAAACUUGCCUUGAGAUGAGUCUUCCCUGACCCUUAAAGGGUCCUAAAGGAACGUUUAAGACUAAGACGUUGAUAGGUUGGGUGUGUAAGCGUAGCGAUACGUUGAGCUAACCAAUACUAAUGAACCGUGAGGCUUAACCUG
This 1725-nucleotide ribosomal RNA is filed under the name Providencia rettgeri. RNAcentral's name for it is "partial 23S ribosomal RNA". It matches the Rfam family "Bacterial large subunit ribosomal RNA", at positions 1223 to 2925 of the family's 2925-position model. The record is from RNAcentral. Lineage: Bacteria; Pseudomonadati; Pseudomonadota; Gammaproteobacteria; Enterobacterales; Morganellaceae.